GGGUCAUUACUCCCGCGGCCCACUGGGGCGGGAACUGACUGGGUACACGCAGCUUGUUGGGAAGUGGUGGGGUUCUGUCUCGAGGACCCGCCCACCUCAGCCAAACCUUUUCACCGCCUGUUCCUGAGCACUGGCCCUAACCCUAAUCGCCCCUCCUCCGCUGCAUGUUAUAAGUAGGUAAACUGAGGCAUGGGGCCACACCAUUGGUUCUUGGGACGUCCCGGCUCCCAGCUGAUGGUGUAGUUGGCACUGACCAUUUUAAAUGGUUUUCACUUUCAUUGUCAAGUACCAGAACUCUGCCCCAACAGAUAGAGAUAUGCGUUAAACACGCAGCUCUGGGUCCCCAUGGGAAAUGGGGAGGGUUUGAACACGUGUCCAGGAGAGGACUCAAGCAGAGCACAGAGAAGGCAGUAUUUUGGAAGAGAAUUUUAAUUUGUUAUUUAAAAAGACACAAAUUAUGCUUUGAAACUCAGCAAAGAAGGGAAAUCCACUGAGAACAGUCUGUUAAGGAUCUCUGUUGCCGUAUUGAUUUUCUGUCUAGAGGACCUGUCCAUUGAUGGCUGCUCCAAUGAUGCAGGCUAGGAUUGAAUUGGAGCUACAGCUGCUGGCCUAUGCCACAGCUACUGCAAUGCCAGAUCUGAGCUGUGUCUGUGACUUACACCGGCAGCUCACAGCAACACUGGAUCCUUAACCCACUCAGCAAGGCCAGGGAUGGAACCUGAGUCCUCAUGGAUACUAGCUGGGUUUGUUACCACUAAGCUACAGUGGGAACUCCUUAAGACAGCAAAUCUUAAUAUUUAAAUCAUUCUGUAAGCCUGUGUCUAUUGCAUAUUAUGUGUAUAGCCCCCGUGGGUACUCUGAGCCCUGUUGAAAUGAGUCAGCUUUGGAUCUAGUCCUUGACUUAAUCCUUAAGUGUAGUGGAUGGAUAAGAUACCCACGUUUCUAAAUUGUGAAGUAGAUAGUAGGUGGUACCUUCAGUGAACCAGAGAUGGACUUGAUGCCAGAAUUGAGAGGAAGCACUGAAUGCUUCUAGCUAAGAGGAUCAAGUAGUUAUCAGGGAAGUUCUAGUUCUGGGGCUCAGAAAAAGAGAAGCAUUGUCUACAUAUAGGAAGUAGGGAAGAUAUUCCUGAUGGAGGAAAUAGCAUGAGCCAAAGAGCAGGGUAUGAAUGUGUUCUUCACUGUUUCCUUGUUUAUUGACCUUAGGCUCCCACUUAGGGUGUUUACAUGUUGUUGCCCUAGUGCCAAUUCAUGGGACCUCUGCUCUCUUCCUCUAAAUAGCACAACUUUUAUUCUGAGAUUUUGUGCUCUGAUUUGAGGGGAUUCAAAUGAUCUUUCUUUCUUUAAAAUUAUCCAGAUAAUGAUAGUUUUGUUUUCAUGCCCUGAUUGGUCAAAUAUGAAUCCAAUGACCCAGACUACUGUCUGUGUUUUUAAUAUAGUUUUUCUGGAGUAUAAGGGCAGAAAUCUAAAAACAAUGAGUCUGGCAAAUAUCUAUUAAAGAAAGAAGGGGAAUGGCAAUAAAUAUUCAUAAAGUGCUUACCAUUUGGCAGAACCAUGACAAGCCUUUUAUGGUUGUUGAUUGACAAUAAUCUGAAGAAGUUAUAGAUCAAAAUAGUAUCCUCACUUCAGAUGAAAGAACCGAGGCUUAAAGAUAAAGUAACCUCUAGGGGUCAUGCACGUGGUAAAAUCAUGGAGCUAGGGAAAGACCCAACAGUCUGAUCCAAGAACCUUUCCCACAUGCUGUGUGCCUCCACAUUGGAAGUCCUAGGUCAGCCUUGAAUGAAAUUUUUUUUCAGGGACUUCCCGUCAUGGCUCAGUGGAAACUAAUGUGACUAGAAUCCAUGAGAAUGCAGGUUCUAUCCCUGGCCUCGCUCAGGGGGUCAAGGAUCUGGCAUUGCAGUGAGCUGUGGUGUAGUUCGCAGACUUGGCUCAGAUCUGGCAUUGCUGUGGCUAUGGUUUAGGCCGGCAGCUGCAGCUCUGAUUUGACCCCUAGCCUUGAAACCUCCAUAUGCUGCAGAUGUGGCCCUUAAAAAAAAAAAAAAAAAA
RNAcentral lists this long non-coding RNA (2043 nucleotides) under Sus scrofa (pig). RNAcentral describes it as "lncRNA (ENSSSCG00055008553.1)". The record is from RNAcentral. Lineage: Eukaryota; Metazoa; Chordata; Mammalia; Artiodactyla; Suidae.